AUUACUUUAAUGUUGGCAUUUCUACCUGCUCCUUAAUUUGCUAUUUGCAGAACAUUGGAAAUUUCCAUUCUACUCCUCUGUUCCUCUACACUAUAGCCUGUAGGCACCCAGAUUCCCUCACCUCUGCUCAUGUGGCCGCCUUCUGCAGAAGAGUUUGAGAACAGGUCCUGAAUGAUACUGGAACCACUUUUCAGCUGGAGUAAACAGGAUGCUGCCACCGAAUUCAGAUUAUUUUUUACAAAAAUGUGAAAAUAUGAAAAAUAUGUCAAAUGUAGAUUCCCAAGACAGAAAAGGUGAAGUUCAGGUUUAAAGGACACUGCAGGAGUUACCAGCCCACUAGCAUCAUUUACUGAGAAGAAAACCAAGGAAGAGCC
Orcinus orca (killer whale) is the source of this 374-nucleotide long non-coding RNA. RefSeq lists it as uncharacterized. The transcript has 3 exons. The record is from RefSeq and is a predicted model, not a curated record. NCBI's taxonomy places the organism in Eukaryota, Metazoa, Chordata, Mammalia, Artiodactyla, Delphinidae.